CAACAGGGAUUGCCCUAGUAACGGCGAGUGAAGCGGCAACAGCUCAAAUUUGAAAUCUGGCCUCGGCCCGAGUUGUAAUUUGCAGAGGAUGUUUCUGGCGCGGUGCCUUCCGAGUUCCCUGGAACGGGACGCCACAGAGGGUGAGAGCCCCGUAUGGUUGGACACCAAGCCUGUGUGAAACUCCUUCGACGAGUCGAGUAGUUUGGGAAUGCUGCUCUAAAUGGGAGGUAAAUCUCUUCUAAAGCUAAAUACCGGCCAGAGACCGAUAGCGCACAAGUAGAGUGAUCGAAAGAUGAAAAGCACCUUGAAAAGGGGGUUAAACAGUACGUGAAAUUGUUGAAAGGGAAGCGCUCAUGACCAGACUUGUGCCGGGCGGUUCAUCCGGGGUUCUCCCCGGUGCACUCCGCCCGGUUCAGGCCAGCAUCGGUUCUCGUUGGGGGAUAAGAACGGUAGGAACGUGGCCCUCCCUCGGGAGGGUGUUAUAGCCUGCCGUACGAUACCCUGAUGGGGACCGAGGUUCGCGCUCCGCAAGGAUGCUGGCGUAAUGGUCAUCAGCGACCCGUCUUGAAACACGGACCAAGGAGUCGUCCAUUAGAGCGAGCGUUUGGGUGUAAAACCCGCACGCGUAAUGAAAGUGAAAUUAGGUGAGAGCUUCGGCGCAUCAUCGACCGAUCCUGAUGUUCUCGGAUGGAUUUGAGUAAGAGUUUUAACGGACGGACCCGAAAGACAGUGAACUAUGCUUGUAUAGGGUGAAGCCAGAGGAAACUCUGGUGGAGGCUCGCAGCGGUUCUGACGUGCAAAUCGAUCGUCAAAUAUGAGCAUGGGGGCGAAAGACUAAUCGAAC
RNAcentral lists this ribosomal RNA (844 nucleotides) under Harknessia viterboensis. RNAcentral's name for it is "eukaryotic LSU rRNA". It matches the Rfam family "Eukaryotic large subunit ribosomal RNA", at positions 66 to 940 of the family's 3401-position model. Lineage: Eukaryota; Fungi; Ascomycota; Sordariomycetes; Diaporthales; Harknessiaceae. The record is from RNAcentral.